UGGGAAGAUGGCGGCGGCGGCGGCGGCGGGUGCCGGCGGCCGGGCCGCGGUGCGGGGGCGGCGGCGACGGGGCCGGCCCGCGGCCGAGGAGGAGCAGGACGCGGUGGUGCUGUCGGUGGCUGAGUGCCCGGUGUGCCGGCAGGCGCUGGUGGAGGCGGUGACGCCGCCCUGCCGCCACUCGCUCUGCCUCGCCUGCUUCCAGCGCUGCCUGCAGGGCCCGGGCCUCUGCUGCCCGCUGUGCCGCAGCCGCCUCUCCACACGGGCCCGGCGGCAGCAGGCCGAGCCCGCAGCCACCACGGCCGCCGGAGCAGCAGGCGGGGAGCAGCGGCCGCAGGACCAAGACUUUAUAUUCAGAGCACCCAUUAAAUUAAGCAAAACAGGAGAACUCCGAGAAGAAUAUGAAAGCCAGCUAAGGAAGCUGAGAGAAGAGAAGCUACAAGAAGAGAAGACAUCUGAGGAUCUGAUUCACAAGUUCAUUCUAGAUGACAUGGACGUAGGGAAAAGAAAAAUGGAGGAACAGCAGAAAAAGGAUGAAUCUGUAGUGCUGAAAGGGAACCAAGACUGUUUUCCUGAACGUCUCUCGGAUUCUGAGAAUGAAGAACCAUUCCAGGGCAAGCAAACACAUCGGUCAGCUUUUGUUUCCAAGACCAGUGCCUACUCCUUUGCUCUCCUUUCAGGGAAUUUAAUCUCCAAGGUGGAGAGGAGUCAGAGCUGCAACGACACCAUUCAGGAGAGAUCCAAGAGCAGGCAGAGAUCAGCCCCAGCCACCAAAACAAAGGUGCUGCCCACCACAGGCAUGUCGACGCCGCUGCUCGGGGUGCUGUCGUCCACGCAGAACAACCGCUGCCUGUCCGCCCCGGACCUGACGGCUGAGAAGCGCCUGGUCCUCAACGCCGUGUCCUCCCUGUCAGCCCUGCACAGGCCAGAGCGAUCCAUCAGCCCUGAGAGCAACGACAGCAUCUCAGAGGAGCUCAACCACUUCAAGCCUAUCGUCUGCUCCCCGUGCACUCCCCCCAAGAGGCUUCCCGACGGCAGAGUCUUGAGCCCCCUCAUCAUCAAAUCCACCCCCAGAAACCUGAACCGGAGCCUGCAGAAGCCAACAACCUACGAGACCAGUCCUAGAAUACUGAAAAAAUGGGAGCAGAUAUUUCAGGAGCGUCAGAUCAAAAAGACUCUCUCUAAAGCAACCCUUACAUCCUUGGCUUUGGAGCCUGGGGAAGACAUUGCGGUUCCUGAUAUCACCAGCUCCAACAUUUGCACUAAGGAGCAGCCACAAGUGCAGGAUGAUCACCUUCCACCUGACGCAACAGGAGAGCCUCGCCCUGAGCUGGAUUUCUUCCCUUCUGUCAGUGAAAUGAAGCUGGGAAGAGGGAGUGAGAAGAACAGAGGUUCACAGGCCUUAACCACUGAUGAUAGUGCUGCUGAACCAGAUGUGAGAUCAAACGUAACCUCCCUAAACAUAACCUCCCUAAACACACGAGUGGCUGAAGUCCCUGAUCUAAAAGUGAAUACGUUCACGGACAAAUCCUGUCUUAGUCUAGGCCCAAAAAUGCUGAGCAGGAGACUCAUGGGCGUCAGCGCAUCACUGCCUGACAGCAGCACACUUGGAGUCCCCAUCAAGCCAUCGGGAAAAAAACAGCUGAAGUAUCUGAACAACAGCGAGUUGAUCAACGUACAGAACAGCACCUGCAAUUCCGUGGGGAACAUCAUCGGGGAACAGCCGCCGCUGCUGCGACGGGGCCGCAAGAGGCGCUGCAAAACAAAGCACUUGGAGCACAACGGCUCCGUCAAAAGACUGAGGCACGUGGCAGGGGAGGUGGGCCUGCCUCCGGAGGUUCGGGACGUGGAGCAGAAGCUCCAGCAAGAGGAGGAGGACAGGAGGUUGGCCCUGCACCUGCAGCGGAUUUUUGACAGCGAGAACAGGACAGUGGAUAGGCGGAAAGUCCGCGUGGAUCGGUAUCUGCUGCGGUCCAAGAGCACUCUGGGUGCCAAGUAGCACUGCUGGAUGAUGUUGCCUUUCUAGAGGACAAUGAGGUUUAUCAGAUUAUCUUAUAGGAAAACUAUUUUUGCCCUCGUUCCACCCACGCAAUUGUUUUUCUGUUUCGGUGGUAAGACAUUUCUAGGUCCAGUUCAGAGAAAAGCCAGCGUCCUUUCAGAUUUAAAAAAACAAAAAGAGAGAGAGAAUGGGAAAAAAUCCUCUGGUCCUCUCUGGUCCUUUGGUCUGAAGGAAUUGUCUGUCAUCCCUGUGAAUACACUACAAGGCCUCCACACACAGCCUGGCACACCUGGGAUCCCCAGCUAGGAGGGUUGUGACCAUGGGGUAUGAGGACCAUCCCUUGCCAAGGGAAAUCUGAGCUCUGCUCAUGGAAAUUGUCUGAGAGUCUUCUCCUCUCUGCCUGCCCCAUUUUCUCCCUCAGGCUGCCUCUGGUUAUGGGGUCAGCCUCUUAUCUGUGCUCUGUAUUUCUUCUGGGGAGUCCUAAACAGAGUCCCCCCCGUAGUACUUCCAAAUGAAUGUAUCUCACUGUCUGCAGCAGCAGUACAGAUCAUUCAUCCCUUUCUUGAAGCAGAAAGCCAAAUGCAGUGAAAAGACAUAAAAUAAGGAUUUUACUGAAAAACCUGGUAGGAAUUUGUAAUUUCAUGUUCAUGACAGGGGAGAGAGCCCAGCUGGAGCAACACGCUGAGCACUGGGAGCUUUUCUCCCAGUGCAUGUCUUUUCCAAACCAAGAGGGUUUCCUGCUUUUCCCUAUAGUGUUCAAGAAAGGGAAACGCUGGCCAGGGAGUUUCUGGAAGGACGUUCUUCCAGCUGCCACGUCUCUUGCUCAGCUAAGAGCUCUCAGCACACCUAAGGCCUGUCCUUGCUUGUUCCAGAGGAGCAUCCAAGAGAUCCAGCACGUUGCCGUGCUCUCCAGGCAGCCAAGAUGGGACGGAAGCCCAGCUGUCCCAAGGGCUGCCCUGCCCCUGCUCCACCUUUCUGCCUUCAGGCUCAAACCAGUAAGAAAGCUCAGGUGAGCGAUACACUAAAAACUUCCAGACAUGAAGCUGAGGCUGGAGCAGAGCUGGCCCAGAGCCUGGGCUUGGUGGAGCAUGUGUUCUCUGCCCAGAUGUGCCAGGACACCCUCUGAGUGUUCAUAACCCUCUUCCAUGGGUUAAUUUCAUGGAUUAUUUCCAGUAACGUGGCUCAGAAGGUACCCUUCCAACUUCCAGUUGCUGCCUUGCAGAGUAUUCACUGGGACCCUGAGGCCAUGGGGACCUUUGUCUGGGGCAGGGGUGUUUUUGGGAUGAGCACAGUGCAGGGGCAAACUUCCCUAUGGAUCUUGUGAAGGGAGGGCAGCCAAUGCACAUAAAUAGAGGGAUCUCAUCUAAGACAGCUGCAUUGCCCAAUUUCCUCUAUCUAAAAAUGGUUGAAUUUUCUCCCUCCAUCUUAAACUGUCAAAAAGAAAACAGGAACUGCAAGGGCCCUGGCAGGCAUUUUUUUUUCCCCUUAAUCGAACUGGAUUUAAAAACAAAAAAAAAAAAAAAAAACAAAAAAAAAGCCAACAGAAAAGAAAAAAAGAAAUCCUAUAUUUUAUUGGGUAAAAUUUAUAUAUUUUAAAUACUAUAUUUCAGCAGAUCGACACUUUUGUUUUGAGAAAUCUUAUAGCAGUGGUUCCAUAAUAUAUAUCUCUAUCUCUGUAUCUCCUUGCCACACAAACUGCUGGAUGGUUGAAGUUGUACCUGGGGCUGGUGAGACUAGGCCUGCUCUGCCUUCCCGGCACUCCGGGCCCUCCUGCGCCGCAGCCUCGGCAGGUGCUACUUGAAGAGGCGCUUUGGACCCAAACCAAAACCUGCUCCUCUGUCCAGAUGUGAAUUAGAAGGAAAUUAAGGAAUUAGAGCCUUGACUGGACCUAGAAGAACAGCACAGAGAGAAGUAGUGAUGGCCUGGAUCUGCCCUUGGAGCUCAGGAGGGAACACCACAGCUUUAACUCGGAAUCCAUGCUGUUUUUCCCAACAUUUUGAGCUGCAAUAUGCACUUCCCAGGUGCAUUUAGAUUUAGAAUUAUUUUUACAGGCCCCCUUUUCUGCAGCUCAUCCCUGGAGCCCCAAACAGACUUCCCUACACAAUUUCCUUUUUUCUUGUGGUGUUUGUGGGUGUUCAGCUGGGCCUGGGCUGCUUACACCACAAGAAAAAGAGAUUUACACACUGAAUGUAUCUUUUCUUUCCCCUCUUAAAACAGAUUUCACAGCCCAAUGCACUAGGCCAGUGUCUUAAAUACCUUCUUUUGAAAAGAUUCUGGGAAUACUGAGGGGUUUGUGCGUUAAUUUCCUGGUCCUAAAUCCAAGCUGGGCAGAAGUGCAGGAGGCAGUGCCUGGACUGGAGCUUGUCCCCAGCCAAAAACAAGCUUCAUGGGACCUCUCGUGCUCCCAGCUGCCUCCAAAAUAGAGAUGCCAGCUCCCCAAGCAUCACGCACAGUCCAUGGCAUCUGCAUUCAAGGAGACCUUUGGAUGUGGAAUCACAAUCAUGUCGUGGAAGGGUGGCCCAGAUGCAAAGCCAGGAUGAAUGUUUUAUUAAUUUAACACUCUAGAAGUUUGUGUAAGCUUGCACAAAACAACAAAAAUUGUAAAUAAUUACACUCAAAAGGGUAGGAAUGCCCAGCCUCUCCCCUGUAAAGGUCAGGAAUGACACCACCUUUACCAGAAAUUGUGCCAGCUGAGAAGGAAAAUACCUCCUACUGCAUGGUGGAUACAGCAUAGGAUGAAACCAAGUAUUUAUUCACACUUCUCUAAAAGUCCUUUGUAACCCUCAGCUGCCUUCCCCCCGGGAUGAAGGCAUUCCUUGCUGGCUGUGGGACGGGCAUGGGAGUGUCCUCCCAAAAUGUGAAGCUGUCCAAUCCAGAGGGGCUGGGGUUGGUUCCGUGACAGAAGGACCAUGUCUGCCAAAGAUGCCACCGACUCCCAGAAAGCUGCUUUCUGACGCUCUGGAGCUCUCUGGCCGGGAAAAGCCGUACAGAAAGGUCCAUGUUUGGAGUCAGCGAGAUGAGAUAAAUGAAGGAAAAGUGCCAAAAGGGAUCAUGCCAGGUGAUUGUAUGACAUUCUAUAUUGUCAGUAUUUCUCUUCCAAUGCUAUUGUACAUGCAGUGCACAGCAGUCAUGAAGUGUAUAGCUUGAGCAAGCGCUUCUUUGUAUUUUCUCAGUGAAAGCAAAGGGGGAGAUCAAAGCCUUAAAGACUCUCACUGAUUUUAGAAAACAAGCCUUUAGCAAUGCUCUGAGGGCAGGGCUCCUCCUGGGCCUGUCCUGUCUGCCAGCUGGCCAGCGGAAGGUUGGCAAAGAGCUCGUCCCUCACACGAGGGGAAGCAUUUCGGGAGAACCCAGACCCUCUCGCUCAGUGGGGGACGCGGGACAGAAACUCCCACUGUCCAUGGUGGAGCCCCACGGGAUGUCCCGGGGAUGGAAGCGCAGCACGGAGCGGGGAUGAUCCCCGCGUGCACCACCCUGUCCCCUCCCCGUGUCUGUGGAACUCCAUCCCCUCUGGAGUUAGCUCCUCACUAUGCAAACGGGAAAACCUUCAGCUGGGCAAGGACGGGGGGGUGCGCCUGGUUUCCUUGGGAUUUGCUGACGAACUGUUCAAAACCAAUCUCGAUGUCGCUACACUUUUUCUCCAGUAACGCUUUAAAUCGUUGUGCUUUCGUGUUCUCCGCUCGCCAGCACAGCACCAGCUGGCCACAGACUCUCACAGUCGUUCUGGUCCCCGCUGAACCCCUGUGGCUUCACCUGAAUGUGUUACAAAGCGAUGGAAGGCACCAAAGGACCGCUGACUUGCAUGUGUGAAAUGUCUCCGCUGGCACCUCCGUGUGACUGGGAAUGCUGCCAAAGGCUGCUCAAGGACUUGUGUCUGUUCCACUCCCACCCCCUCUGCUCUCCUCAACACUGAGGACAAUGUGUGGUUUCCUCCGGGAAUGUCCCAGCACAGCCAGGGCAACAAGCCAGACCCAAUUCCCACCAAAAGGAACAAAGGUACAAAGAGGCUCAUUAAUGACAGACUUGAGCAAAGACAGGUGAAAACCCAUCAUUUGCUCUCACUAUAGGGAGAUGCAUCUGCCAGGAGACUGGGGCUGUUGUUGAUUCUUUUAACAUAAAACUGAUAAUCCUACAUCAAAGCAGCUAAAUUGGAUCAGUCCAAAUGGCCAUCCAGCUUAGCAUCGCACCUUCUGAAAUGGAGAACAGGGUUCUUUGGCAUGGCAGCUGGGGCCAAGCUGUACACAAAGGGUCUUGUUAAGGAGGAAUAAGCAGCAUCCUCCUCACGUGGCUCGGCCACACAACAGGGCUGCUGUAUUGUGUUGGAGAUCAUAGAACUAUGGAAUAGUUAGGGCUGGAAAAGGCCUCCAAGGCCAUCGAGUCCCCCAGCACUGCAAGGCCACCGCUAACCCAUGUCCCCAAGUGACACAUCCACACGGCUUUAAAUCCCUCCAGGGAUGGAGACUCCACGGCUGGCCUGGGCAGCUGUGCCAGGCCUGGACACACCCUUUUGAGGUCGGACGGGGCUUGGAGCAACCUAAAGUGGAAGGGUCGCCUGCCCAUGGCAGGGGGUGGGACUGGAUGCGUUUUAAGAUCGCUCCCAACCCAAAUCCUGUGAUUCCAUGAUGCG
This is an RNA transcript of Poecile atricapillus (Black-capped chickadee), 6620 nucleotides long. It is a transcript of the gene named ring finger protein 169, with no coding region annotated. The transcript is spliced from 7 exons. Lineage: Eukaryota; Metazoa; Chordata; Aves; Passeriformes; Paridae. The record is from RefSeq and is a predicted model, not a curated record.